CAGCAGCGCAGCGCCGCCGUUCGGUCGCCGAAACUAAACGUAGUACGUCACGCGUCGGACGCCGGCGGCGCCAUCUAGCGGCCCGCUGUGAGCGCCGCAGCGCGCUCCUCACCUGCCUCGCGCGACAUUUCUCCGUCGCGCUCGCACCAGUGCACGUAGAAAUAACCUCAAAAUUCUCGCGUACCAACCAAUCACAAAAAUAUUGUAUCUCGCAGUAUUAAUAACAGUGACUACUAUCUCAAAGACGGUUAACAGUGUUAUAAAUGUGACGUAAUCCCGUCACGGCUCUGGAUUAUCCCUGCAGUGUUGCUUCAUAGUGAUUUUGGCGAAAUCGAAAGUUUUCAGGACGAAUGUUCCUUUUGGUGGGCUGUCGUCGGGCAGCCCCAAAAUUUUGUGCCAAUAUGUGGUGGUUUCUAUUAUGUGUUUUGAGCGUUAAAACAUUGACAGUAUUUGCGUCGAAAGGCAAUGGAACUGUAUCCGAAUCAAUAUGCUCCCUGAAGCAGUUCCAGUGCGCCAACGGCCAGUGUAUACCGAUCAUGUGGGUGUGCGACCUCGAGAAGGACUGCGAAGAUAACUCCGAUGAAGAAAUUGAGGAAUGCAAAAAAGGUAAGUCUAAAAUAGGAAAAUCAGAUAUCAGUUCAACUCGCGACCCCGGCUCUCGUUGAGUACAACACUAGUCAGGCAAUCCUGAUGAAUACGUGUGACACAGACUUCCGUAUAUUAAUUUAGGUCAAGUCACCAAAUUCCGAGCAAAGAGUUUGGCUUCUUAGAAAAAUUUGUAAGAAACCAGGAUAAAAACAACCAAGCGAUUAUUGAAAAUUGCGAAAAUGUAUCACAUGUGGUAGUACUUACGGAAGUUGGGCUAAUAACGUCACAUGUUGCUAAAACGUGAAUUGAUUUAAUCCACGGCUUUAAUAUUCCUCGUAAAGAAUCGACGUUAUUUUAGCGCAGUUUAAGUAUUCUUUAUCUAGUGAAUUAUUUAUUUGCUGCGAAACAGGUGUACCUAUGCAAUUCAUUUGCUAGAAAUGUGUAACUAUAACAGUGUAUUCAACACUACAGAACAUUAGAGCAAUUAAGGGCGCUCAUUAUUAUAACUAUCAGCUAAUAUUAUUUUAUUAUAAUGAGGGAUUUUGGUAUGAUACGAGUAGGUACAGCGAACAAAUAAAAAUAUUCGAAUGCACAAAUAACCGAGUAGGACAAGAAUUAGUGUGAUCCACAAAUGAUUAUUCUGAAACUGGGUGUCGCACUACGCGCAUGUACGCAUGUAACUUGAAUUUUAGCGAAACCCCCUUCGAAACAAGGAUUUCAUUCCUUAGUGCAGGUGUAAUUGCCUUUGAGACACAUAUUUAUCGGAAUAUAAAUAACGGUUUACCCAUCUCCCGACAAGUUUCAAUCCUACACGGAGUCAAGAAUCAGUUUGGUCCCAAACUAUUCGACCGAUUCCGAUAGAUACGCAGGGCUUAUCAAAUAAUUAUGAUCUGCAAAACAAAAGCUAUUAUAAAAUACAAAUAACUAGACGUUUUAAAAACACGUAUCGGUUCUAAAACAAGCAUUUCAAAACAUUGCUUUUGUCGGUACAUAAUUAAACUUCGACCUCUUCUACUAGUUUCAAUCGAAACAAAUAUGUCCAUAAUAUUUAUGGCCAUCAAAUGAACUCUAUAUCGAUGAUUAAUUACGAAGCAAUUUAGACUGAUAAUAACUAGAAUUGUAAUAGAAUAUCAAGCGUAUCUGUCCAGCGCGAGUUUGUUUACCAAGCUGUGACGUCAUGUCCAAACAAAUCACGGUGGCGUGCAUUUGAGGUGAUUAAUUAUUACCAUACACUAUGCCAUAUACUCUACACACUACAGUCCAGUCACUGCAGAUGUAGGUACCUUUUGUUAUGACUACGUCGUUUGUUAAUUGUGAGAAAUGAAAUACAUUAAUAACAAUCAAGGCUGCAUUCAACGAAUACAUUAAUGAAAUUUCAUUGCUCAUCUAGAAUAUUCAGUAGGCGAUUUUACAUUCGAAGAGGGUACAGUUAUGAUCGAUGGUGGUUUUAUUUACGAAAUAUCGAAAUGAUGUAUCGUUCAAGUGAUCAAAAACACAAAUGACUAAAGGAUAGUUCAUUGUAGGCUUCAGGAGAGCAAUUUGACGCUUGUUCAGAGGUCCACGAGGUUCCUUCAAUAUCGGUCGCCAUUGACAAAGACAUCUCGCAUUGACGUGCUAUUAAUAUUUAUUGGCGAAAUAGCUUCGGUAACUUGACAGCCUCCCCCUAAUUUUAGAUCAAUUGGCCUCUCUCAAGUUUAUUCAAUUUAAUUUGCAGAACCAAUUUGUGGGAGGGCAAAAUCAAUACUUUGCAGAUUUGCGUGGGGUCGUAAUAUAAUUUAAUUAAUUAUCGAAUUUCGUACCGCGAAAUGUUUAAUGUGUGCUUUACAAUAGAGGGCUUGUAAUAAACAAAGCGAGCGUUUAAUCCCCGGUCAUAAGUUAUAAUGUUUGUAUUACGAGCAGACGUAAGAUUAAGCCGCGAAACUAUUAUUUUAAUGCUGUUAGCUGUAAUUUUUUCUCAUUUCUUCGCUUUAUUGUUCUUAUUUAUGGUAUGAAUCUGUGUUAUAAUCUUGACAAAAAUGUUGUGUUAUUUUUAUCUCAAAAUUAAAAUUAAAGUACGGCUUUUAUCACAGCUUUGUGGUAUUUACUGUUAAAUGGUUGACAUUAUCAUGUUAGGCCCUGGCUUUGGUAAUUGAGGCAAGAAUUAUGAUUGAUUACUAAAAGCUCAUGAAUCUCUCUCUAAAAAAUUUAAUCCUUUUGUCGCGGAGGUUUCCCAAACAUUCAAUUCACAUACACUAUGACACCCUGACUUAGGACAAUUCGGGGUUCACAGAAACCUUUGUUCGUCUACGAUCAAACCUGCGACACGAAGCGCACAGUGGUUUGGACUGAUGGCUUCAACCACUCAGCUAUCUGUGCAGUCAUGUACAUUACAUGUACCCAAACCCAUGAUAUUUAUAAUAAUAUAGUAACAAUACUCACAAAAUAUCAUAAUUAACCGUAUAUUACGUCUGUAGCAGUCCAAUAAAGGCAGUCGUUUCAUAAGUUGACCCCGUCCCAGCACCUUAUACCAAUCUGUAACAAUUUAUUAGCGGCUGAUUGCAUGCGUCCACUUGAUUGCUAUUGGGCUUCCUUUAUUGACGGGAGAUGACUUGCCCCGACUCGCUGGCGCCUUCGUGCUCUGUACUGCGCAUGCGUCGGCCCUUCAACUAUGACAAUUAUAACUUGUUGACUUGCUUGAUCAUUGGGUCUUUGUCACACAUGUUUCUAUUUAACAGGCUACGCGGUGUAGAUAAAUUUCUUUCUGCUGCAUUCACUACGAAAUUAAAGGGAUUCAUUGAGGUAUUAUGUAUGCUAAAGCUAUCACGAAAAUCAUGAUCGGCAGACCGUUAAAUAUUUUACUAUUAAAUAAAUACAAUGAACGUAUAAUAAUACCCUUCACAAGGCCAACAAACAUGUUUUUAUUAGACACGCGUCACAUUUAACAUUUAUUCAACUGUAAUUCGCCCUUGACGUGCAAUUUAACUCAACAAGACACACGAAAUCAGCUAACAUCAAAAUCACACAACAACAUUUCGGCAAUUACAUUUCCUAAAUACAUAACGUUUACGUAUUCAAGCCAUAAGGGUGACAUUAGGUGUCUAAGAACCCUUGUGUAUACAGUUUAAAAGUUCCCAAACACAGCUCUCGGGUUUCCUUAUCUUUAUUCAAAGUAAUUUGCGGUUCCGACCUCAAACCACGUUCCAACGAAUCUUUGUUCUUGCAAGUCUGUAAUUUUAUCUAUAACUGCAAAUAGCUGUGACCUCUUUGGUGUUUUGUAAAAGAAUGCCUGAACUUGUUAGAAGUUUACACCCUUCUAUAUUCGGGCGUGGUUUACGAUAUUAUAUGUCUGAACUUACAUUAUUUGUUGGGUCUAGGUUAUGUAGGGUUAACAGCUUUCACCGAGGUUAGACCCCUCAAUACUAAUAUUAAACUUAAGGGUUGACCACCCGAGAACAAUUUAUUAUAUUUUGCUUCAAGUAACGUUGGAAACUUUGGCGAAGAUUAAACACUUAUUCGAUCAAUGUUAUUCUUUGUGUUUCCCGUUCAUACGAAGGUUCGAACAUAUGAAAACACUGAAAUUGAGUUACUAUAGGCUUUCUUUAUAAAGAGGCAAUUCAAAAGUUUUGAUUGAAAUACAAAGAAGAGCAAGACCUAAAAUGAUCUAGAUAAACCGGUCAAGGGCGUGUCAGACUUGCGGUACUUAAGGUUCCGGUACUUAAGGCAUGGCGACAGUAAAACUGUAGGUAUUCAACCUCUAAUUAAUUUGUAAAAUAAAGGCAACAGAAAUACUUAAUAUGUGAAAUAUUCAACGAAAUCUUAAAAUAAUGUAUUUAUUCUUUUAUUUGUACUGAAUUGUACUUCACGUAAGUGUAAGAGCAAAAUAAGAAAUAUCGUUCCACGGUAAUAUGUCUGUUUCUUUUAUUUAUUUUUAUUGCUUAAGGAAGAUCUUGCACCUUACUGAUAGCCGAAUACCGUCAUUACAGGCUUGUAAUGUUGUUGUACCCACUUUAUGAGGUACCCUUUUCAACCUUGGCUGUGCUACGAGUUCUUCAUAGCAGGAGGUCUCUUUGUGAAAGAGAUGGCGUAAUACACUGAGCGUAUUGGCGUCUCGCUUCCUCAUUCACGACGGUCUGGCUACAAGAUCUCAUGGUACAUUCACAGGUUAGAUUGCAAAUAACCGAUUGUCUUAAUAUAACAAAGAAAUUCAUUAAUCAUUCAACCGAUUUUCUGUGUUUGCCUUAGCAUUGAUGUUCAUUUAUAUUAUCAGAAGGCCCGUUUGUUUAUUUCGUUCAUCUUUGUUGAUUCCCUAAAGUAAUUUGGUAACUUGAUAAACAAUUUCAAAACAGACUUCUGAAUAAAUAGAGGUGCUCGUUUCUAUUUUAUUUGCAGUUAGUAUGGUAUUGUGAUUUUUAAGAGUCUGUGAAUAAACUUGCUUUUCAACCGACUUUAAUAAGGAGGAGGAUCUCAAUUUGUUACCUCACAACUUCGGACUGGAAAAACAGAUUUUGAUGAUUCUUAUUUUUAUGGCUUCAAUUUGGUUCCAUUAAAAUUCCUUCAAGUUUGGUUCAGCACAUUUUAUUUGAAGAAGUUUGUAUGUUUUUAUCGGUAUUAAAUUAAGUCUCCUAAUUAAAACUAGAUAAGCACUUUAUCAACCUUGCUUGAUUUUUACCCUGACAGUUAAAGUUAAAAAGGUCUGUUCUAUCUAUUUAUAUAUUAACCCAAGAUACCAUAACCUGCUUUAUUCCGUCUAAAUGUGUUCGUCUGCCGUGUGCUAACAACACAAAUAUUCCUGGCUACUGGGCAAGCAAAUGCAAAAAUAUUCUUUAGUACAUUUUCCCAGCAGUUUGUAAAAGGCGAUUGCAAAUAAGCGCAAAAGCACCUUGUCGAAAUCACUUGAAAGUCAAAUAUGAAGAGAAUGGACCGAAUUCGUGAUUGUAGUGUUGAAGACAAAAUUGUAGCUGCCCGCUGGUCACUAGGUCAGCGUGGGACUUAUUUCUUAGCGUUGAAAUACAAAGCAGUUUUGAUUCACUGUGUAUUUAGAAUACUGAAUCUGAAAUAGUACGUAUUAAAGAUUGUUGGUUUGUUAUUUGUUUAAUAACGGUUUUCUUUCGCGUAUUUAUCGGGGUAUGCCUAGUUUCGGAGUCAACCGGAGUCGUUAAUCAGCUGACACGGUGACGAGGACAGUUGCUAAGCUAAUUUUUGCUUUCUAUUUUUUUUAAUGUUUAAGACGUUUAUUUUAAGUUCGCGGGAAUCGAAUUCAUGCAUUGAAAGAGCAUACUGUCAUCAACAAACAGAAACCUCAACCUCAAGAUGUCGAAAAAUACGAGACCCUAAAAAUAUUGUAUUUCUAAAUAAAUAUUCUAUCAAAGUCUUCAAAGUAUAGAAUCUGAAAUUUAAUAUAAUCAGCCUAUUUCUAGUCUAGAACUGCCUAAAUAGGUAUAACCUAGUUUGUUUCGCCGUCUUCGAACCAUAUUUAAAUGUAAUGCCUCUUUAUUCUAAACAUGAAACAGUGAGAUGUAGAAAUCAUAAUUUAUGUAGGUAUUGGUUCUCCAUUUUUAUUUGGAAUCACAGUAUUCAUAUCAAAGACUGGCACGUGUUAGGGAUUUAUAUGAAAAGGUUUAUUUAUUACACAUUACCUACCAGAAAACUGACCG
Molecule: long non-coding RNA, 6221 nt
Organism: Trichoplusia ni (cabbage looper)
Lineage: Eukaryota; Metazoa; Arthropoda; Insecta; Lepidoptera; Noctuidae
Exons: 2
Source: RefSeq, a predicted model, not a curated record